GGCCUAAUGGCCCAAUGGCAAGGCGCUUGACUACGAUUAAAUCGGCAAUCAAGAGAUUCCAGGUUCGACCCCUGGUUAGGUCA
RNAcentral lists this transfer RNA (83 nucleotides) under Curvularia kusanoi. RNAcentral's name for it is "Cochliobolus kusanoi tRNA". It matches the Rfam family "tRNA". From Rfam's summary of the family: Transfer RNA (tRNA) molecules are approximately 80 nucleotides in length. Their secondary structure includes four short double-helical elements and three loops (D, anti-codon, and T loops). Lineage: Eukaryota; Fungi; Ascomycota; Dothideomycetes; Pleosporales; Pleosporaceae. The record is from Rfam by way of RNAcentral.